Molecule: ribosomal RNA, 228 nt
Filed under: uncultured bacterium
Lineage: Bacteria
Description: partial 16S ribosomal RNA
Rfam family: Bacterial small subunit ribosomal RNA
Source: RNAcentral
AGUAACGCGUGAGGAACCUGCCUCAAAGAGGGGGGACAACAGUUGGAAACGACUGCUAAUACCGCAUAAGCCCACGGCUCGGCAUCGAGCAGAGGGAAAAGGAGCAAUCCGCUUUGAGAUGGCCUCGCGUCCGAUUAGCUAGUUGGUGAGGUAAUGGCCCGCCAAGGCGACGAUCGGUAGCCGGACUGAGAGGUUGAACGGCCACAUUGGGACUGAGACACGGCCCAG